Molecule: ribosomal RNA, 339 nt
Filed under: uncultured prokaryote
Description: bacterial SSU rRNA
Rfam family: Bacterial small subunit ribosomal RNA
Source: RNAcentral
AGAGUUUGAUCCUGGCUCAGAUUGAACGCUGGCGGCGUGCCUAACACAUGCAAGUCGAGCGGUAACGCGGGAGCAAUCCUGGCGACGAGCGGCGAACGGGUGAGUAAUACUUCGGAAUCUACCCACGGGUGGGGAAUAACCAGCCGAAAGGUUGGCUAAUACCGCAUACGCCUACGGGGAAGCGGGGAGUCGAAAGACCUCGCGCCGGUGGAUGAGCCGAGGUCGGAUUAGCUAGUUGGUAGGGUAACGGCCUACCAAGGCGACGAUCCGUAGCUGGUCUGAGAGGACGACCAGCCACACUGGGACUGAGACACGGCCCAGACUCCUACGGGAGGCGAC